Molecule: ribosomal RNA, 301 nt
Filed under: uncultured bacterium
Lineage: Bacteria
Description: partial 16S ribosomal RNA
Rfam family: Bacterial small subunit ribosomal RNA
Source: RNAcentral
CAGCAGCGCGGUAAUACAGAGGGUGCAAGCGUUAAUCGGAAUUACUGGGCGUAAAGCGCGCGUAGGUGGUUCGCCAAGUUGGAUGUGAAAUCCCCGGGCUCAACCUGGGAACUGCAUCCAAAACUGGCGAGCCAGAGUAUGGUAGAGGGUGGUGGAAUUUCCUGUGUAGCGGUGAAAUGCGUAGAUAUAGGAAGGAACAUCAGUGGCGAAGGCGACCACCUGGACUGAUACUGACACUGAGGUGCGAAAGCGUGGGGAGCAAACAGGAUUAGAUACCCCCGUAGUCCCUGUCUCUUAUACA